AUUGAACGCUGGCGGCAGGCCUAACACAUGCAAGUCGAGCGGAUGAAGGGAGCUUGCUCCUGGAUUCAGCGGCGGACGGGUGAGUAAUGCCUAGGAAUCUGCCUGGUAGUGGGGGAUAACGUCCGGAAACGGGCGCUAAUACCGCAUACGUCCUGAGGGAGAAAGUGGGGGAUCUUCGGACCUCACGCUAUCAGAUGAGCCUAGGUCGGAUUAGCUAGUCGGUGGGGAAAAGGCCUACCAAGGCGACGAUCCGUAACUGGUCUGAGAGGAUGAUCAGUCACACUGGAACUGAGACACGGUCCAGACUCCUACGGGAGGCAGCAGUGGGGAAUAUUGGACAAUGGGCGAAAGCCUGAUCCAGCCAUGCCGCGUGUGUGAAGAAGGUCUUCGGAUUGUAAAGCACUUUAAGUUGGGAGGAAGGGCAGUAAGUUAAUACCUUGCUGUUUUGACGUUACCAACAGAAUAAGCACCGGCUAACUUCGU
This 483-nucleotide ribosomal RNA is filed under the name uncultured bacterium. Its description in RNAcentral is "partial 16S ribosomal RNA". It matches the Rfam family "Bacterial small subunit ribosomal RNA", at positions 30 to 506 of the family's 1533-position model. The record is from RNAcentral.